RNAcentral lists this transfer RNA (91 nucleotides) under Solobacterium sp. RNAcentral describes it as "tRNA-Ser". It matches the Rfam family "tRNA". From Rfam's summary of the family: Transfer RNA (tRNA) molecules are approximately 80 nucleotides in length. Their secondary structure includes four short double-helical elements and three loops (D, anti-codon, and T loops). Further hydrogen bonds mediate the characteristic L-shaped molecular structure. tRNAs have two regions of fundamental functional importance: the anti-codon, which is responsible for specific mRNA codon recognition, and the 3' end, to which the tRNAs corresponding amino acid is attached (by aminoacyl-tRNA synthetases). tRNAs cope with the degeneracy of the genetic code in two manners: having more than one tRNA (with a specific anti-codon) for a particular amino acid; and 'wobble' base-pairing, i.e. permitting non-standard base-pairing at the 3rd anti-codon position. The record is from RNAcentral. Lineage: Bacteria; Bacillati; Bacillota; Erysipelotrichia; Erysipelotrichales; Erysipelotrichaceae.
GCAGGAUUACCCAAGUGGUUGAAGGGGCGGGCUUGGAAAGCUCGUAGGUCUGUAACAGGGCGCCAGGGUUCAAAUCCCUGAUCCUGCGCCA